RNAcentral lists this ribosomal RNA (407 nucleotides) under uncultured soil bacterium. RNAcentral's name for it is "bacterial SSU rRNA". It matches the Rfam family "Bacterial small subunit ribosomal RNA", at positions 140 to 523 of the family's 1533-position model. The record is from RNAcentral.
GGGAUAACUCUCCGAAAGGGGGUGCUAAUACCGGAUAAGACCACGGGAGCCUCGGCUCCUGCGGGAAAAGGUGGCCUCUGUAUACAAGCUAUCGUUUCAGGAUGAGCCCGCGGCCCAUCAGCUAGUUGGCGGGGUAACGGCCCACCAAGGCGACGACGGGUAGCUGGUCUGAGAGGACGAUCAGCCACACUGGAACUGAGACACGGUCCAGACUCCUACGGGAGGCAGCAGUGGGAAUCUUGCGCAAUGGGCGAAAGCCUGACGCAGCAACGCCGCGUGUGUGAUGAAGGUCUUCGGAUCGUAAAGCACUGUCGGGAGGGACGAAUAAGGGUCCGUCUAACAAGCGGAUCCGAUGACGGUACCUCCAAAGGAAGCACCGGCUAACUCUGUGCCAGCAGCCGCGGUAA